AUUGAACGCUGGCGGCAUGCCUUACACAUGCAAGUCGAACGGUAACAGGUUAAGCUGACGAGUGGCGAACGGGUGAGUAAUAUAUCGGAACGUGCCCAGGCGUGGGGGAUAACGUAGCGAAAGCUACGCUAAUACCGCAUACGAUCUAAGGAUGAAAGCGGGGGAUCGCAAGACCUCGCGCGAUUGGAGCGGCCGAUAUCAGAUUAGGUAGUUGGUGGGGUAAAGGCUCACCAAGCCAACGAUCUGUAGCUGGUCUGAGAGGACGACCAGCCACACUGGAACUGAGACACGGUCCAGACUCCUACGGGAGGCAGCAGUGGGGAAUUUUGGACAAUGGACGCAAGUCUGAUCCAGCCAUUCCGCGUGCAGGAUGAAGGCCCUCGGGUUGUAAACUGCUUUUGUACGGAACGAAAAGGUCUCUCUUAAUACGGGGGGCUCAUGACGGUACCGUAAGAAUAAGCACCGGCUAACUACGUGCCAGCCGCCGCCGUAA
This 493-nucleotide ribosomal RNA is filed under the name uncultured bacterium. RNAcentral describes it as "partial 16S ribosomal RNA". It matches the Rfam family "Bacterial small subunit ribosomal RNA", at positions 30 to 523 of the family's 1533-position model. The record is from RNAcentral.